AGCAAGCGAUGAUGAUGAUGACAGUAUGUCACUGUCCUGAAAAUAACUGAUGGUUUAAGUCACUACCUCAUCUGAUCUUGCG
This is a small nucleolar RNA of Lampris incognitus (smalleye Pacific opah), 82 nucleotides long. RefSeq annotates it as small nucleolar RNA SNORD11B. NCBI's taxonomy places the organism in Eukaryota, Metazoa, Chordata, Actinopteri, Lampriformes, Lampridae. The record is from RefSeq and is a predicted model, not a curated record. The transcript has a single exon.